Molecule: long non-coding RNA, 2189 nt
Organism: Mya arenaria
Lineage: Eukaryota; Metazoa; Mollusca; Bivalvia; Myida; Myidae
Exons: 2
Source: RefSeq, a predicted model, not a curated record
AGAGAUAUGGCCCCUUGAAGCGCUCGUACUGAAAAUACAGCAGAUGCGCUCCGAUGUACUCGGGGCAAUGGCUGGUAGUGUCUCCUCAAGUAACAGCCUUCGCACACGUAUUGGUGAGGUGGAGACCAUGAUUGCCAUGUUGAAAGAGAGGUGCUCUUGUUACAUGGAUGUUGAUUAAGAAUGUUACACCAGCCUGAUUGACGUCAUUUUGACUUGGAACAAAUUUUGCAUGUAUAUUAUGUGCUAAAAAUGAUACACAAGCCUAAUUGAUAUUUUACUCUUUGAUAACUUUUCGAUUUGGAACAGAUUGUGCAUGUAAAUUAUGUGUUAAAAGUUAGAAACUUUGUUACAAAUGCUUUUAAUAGCUACCAAUUGUUUUAGAUAGAAGAGUAAUAAGUAUUACACUCCAUAAGCAUGCUCAUGGCUGCAUGUUGUUUCACCUGUUUACUAGUUUGCAUUUCAUUUUUUUUUAUGAUUUUAUUUAUUAUUUUAUAAAUAUUGUUUACAGGGUAAACAUUUAAAUCAUUUGACAGGUAAUUUAAACUUUUUUAAUAAAAAUCUGAGAACUUGAAUUCACAUGAAUAAAUGUGUGUGUGCGUGCGUGUGUGUGUGUGUUUUUUUGUAAUAAAUUAUUGUUCAUACCAUUCCCUUGAAUGUUAAAAACAAAGUCAAACAAAAACAAGCCAAUUUAUUUUUAGGGCAAAAUUGAAAAGGGGAAUAAACAUCUUAAAUGUCAUUUCUAGAAAUAUUUUGUAACAAAUCUACAACUUAUCUUGAACAUGAAAUUGCUGGCUUUUGUUUUUUAAAGAAUAUUAACUUUUUACGCAUUUUUAGGCUUUCAAGCGGGUUCUUCUUUUCCUACUUUUUCUUGAAAAAGCCCUAAUAUCCCUACUUUUUUGUAAAAAUGGUUUGAGAAAUAAUAGAAAAGUUUUAACUAAAUGCAUUAAUUGAGAUCAUUUAAAUCUUGAUUUUAAUAAGAAGGCAUUUCUAGCAUUUUGAAGGAUUAGUUUGAUGCAGUAGGUCUCCAUUGCUGCAAGAGGGGUUCUAUGAUGGGAUUAAGUGGCGUACAUGUGUGUUGACAAGUUGGAGACACCAAUUCCAGUUUCAUCUCCUCGUCCUGUGGCUGAAUCCUUCUUGAAGCACUGGUUUUUAAGCAAAGUUCACUACAUGUACAUCACAAUUGAUGAAUAGAUUUUGUAGUCAUUUAUUUUCAUCCAAAAAAGAGCCCUAUUAUCACUACUUUUUGCUUUUUGCUCUUAAUAUCCCUAUUUUACCCUACCUUUCAAAAAGAUUUGCCUACUUUUUAUCCCUAUUUAUAUCCCUAUCUUUUUAUAUUGGUCACUUGAAAGCCUGUAUUUGAACAAUGCAAACUAUAUUUAGUUAAUACAGAAUCACAUGCCUGAAAUUGUCCACUGUUUGAUUAAUCCUCAGCUUUACUUGACUAUCAAACAGUUGUAAAGAUUGUUUUGCUGUGACAUUUGCAUCUUAAACAGAAGAAAGUACCUUGAAAUAAAUAUAUAUGACUUUUUCACUUGAUUAUCAAAAGUUGUAAAGAUUGUUUUGUUGUCACACAAGAAAGUACCUUGAAUAAGAUAUAAAUGACUUUCUCUCUUGAUUAUUGAACAGUUGUUAAGAUUGUUUUGUCAUGAACAGAAGGAAGUACCUUGAAAUAAUUAUUAAUGACUUUUUUACUUGAUUAUCGAACAGUUGUUAACAUUGUUUUGUUGUCACACAAGGAAGUACCUUGGAAAUAAAUGUAAAUGACUUUUUUACUUGAUUAUCGAACAGUUGUUAACAUUGUUUAGUUGUCACACAAGGAAGUACCUUGGAAAUAAAUGUAAAUGACUUUUUUACUUGAUUAUCGAACAGUUGUUAAGAUUGUUUAGUUGCCUUAAACAGAAGGAAGUACCUUGAAAUAAAUGUAAAUGGCUUUUUUUACUUGAUUAUCGAACAGUUGUUAAGAUUGUUUAGUUGCCUUAAACAGAAGGAAGUACCUUGAAAUAAAUGUAAAUGACUUUUUCACUUGAUUAUCGAACAGUUGUUAAGAUUGUUUAGUUGCCUUAAACAGAAGGAAGUACCUUGAAAUAAAUGUAAAUGACUUUUUUACUUGAUUAUUGAACAGUUGUCAAGAUUGUUUUGUUGUCAUAAACAGAAGGAAGUACCUUGAAAUAAAUAUAAAUGACUUUGAA